Molecule: unclassified non-coding RNA, 335 nt
Filed under: soil metagenome
Description: partial contains 5.8S ribosomal RNA, internal transcribed spacer 2, and large subunit ribosomal RNA
Rfam family: 5.8S ribosomal RNA (bases 1-120)
Source: RNAcentral
GAUGAAGAACGCAGCGAAAUGCGAUAAGUAAUGUGAAUUGCAGAAUUCAGUGAAUCAUCGAAUCUUUGAACGCACAUUGCGCCCGCCAGUAUUCUGGCGGGCAUGCCUGUUCGAGCGUCAUUUCAACCAUCAAGCCCCAGGCUUGUGUUGGGGACCUGCGGCUGCCGCAGGCCCUGAAAACCAGUGGCGGGCUCGCUGUCACACCGGGCGUAGUAGAUUUUAUCUCGCUCAGGGCGUGCUGCGGGUUCCGGCCGUUAAAAAGCCUUUUUUACCCAAGGUUGACCUCGGAUCAGGUAGGAAUACCCGCUGAACUUAAGCAUAUCAAUAAGCGGAGA